This 387-nucleotide ribosomal RNA is filed under the name uncultured Katablepharidophyta. Its description in RNAcentral is "partial small subunit ribosomal RNA". It matches the Rfam family "Eukaryotic small subunit ribosomal RNA", at positions 30 to 432 of the family's 1831-position model. Lineage: Eukaryota; Cryptophyceae; Kathablepharidacea. The record is from RNAcentral.
GCUUGUCUCAAAGAUUAAGCCAUGCAUGUCUAAGUGUAAAUACGUCUACACUGUGAAACUGCGAAUGGCUCAUUAAAUCAGUUAUCGUUUAUUUGAUGAUCUCUUGUUACAUGGAUAACCGUAGUAAUUCUAGAGCUAAUACAUGCACAAAAUCCCGACUUACGAAGGGAUGUAUUUAUUAGAUACAAACCAACAUCGUGGUGAUUCAUAAUAACUUUGCGAAUCGCAUGGCCUUGUGCCGGCGAUGAAUCAUUCAAAUUUCUGCCCUAUCAACUUUCGAUGGUAAGGUAUUGGCUUACCAUGGUUGCAACGGGUAACGGAGAAUUAGGGUUCGAUUCCGGAGAGGGCGCCUGAGAAAUGGCGACCACAUCCAAGGAAGGCAGCAGG